RNAcentral lists this ribosomal RNA (492 nucleotides) under uncultured bacterium. RNAcentral describes it as "partial 16S ribosomal RNA". It matches the Rfam family "Bacterial small subunit ribosomal RNA", at positions 29 to 507 of the family's 1533-position model. The record is from RNAcentral.
AGUGAACGCUGGCGGUAGGCCUAACACAUGCAAGUCGAACGGCAGCACAGUAAGAGCUUGCUCUUACGGGUGGCGAGUGGCGGACGGGUGAGGAAUACAUCGGAAUCUACUUUUUCGUGGGGGAUAACGCAGGGAAACUUACGCUAAUACCGCAUACGACCUACGGGUGAAAGCAGGGGAUCUUCGGACCUUGCGCGAUUGAAUGAGCCGAUGUCGGAUUAGCUAGUUGGCGGGGUAAAGGCCCACCAAGGCGACGAUCCGUAGCUGGUCUGAGAGGAUGAUCAGCCACACUGGAACUGAGACACGGUCCAGACUCCUACGGGAGGCAGCAGUGGGGAAUAUUGGACAAUGGGCGCAAGCCUGAUCCAGCCAUACCGCGUGGGUGAAGAAGGCCUUCGGGUUGUAAAGCCCUUUUGUUGGGAAAGAAAAGCAGCAGGUUAAUACCCCGCUGUUCUGACGGUACCCAAAGAAUAAGCAUCGGCUAACUUCGUG